CUGGGAAAGCUUUUGCGGUAUGGGAUGGGGUCGCGUCCUAUCAGCUUGAUGGCGGGGUAACGGCCCACCAUGGCUUCGACGGGUAGCCGGCCUGAGAGGGCGACCGGCCACAUUGGGACUGAGAUACGGCCCAGACUCCUACGGGAGGCAGCAGUGGGGAAUAUUGCACAAUGGGCGCAAGCCUGAUGCAGCGACGCCGCGUGCGGGAUGACGGCCUU
RNAcentral lists this ribosomal RNA (218 nucleotides) under Bifidobacterium sp. 98. Its description in RNAcentral is "partial 16S ribosomal RNA". It matches the Rfam family "Bacterial small subunit ribosomal RNA", at positions 198 to 418 of the family's 1533-position model. Lineage: Bacteria; Bacillati; Actinomycetota; Actinomycetes; Bifidobacteriales; Bifidobacteriaceae. The record is from RNAcentral.